Oncorhynchus keta (chum salmon) is the source of this 549-nucleotide long non-coding RNA. RefSeq lists it as uncharacterized. NCBI's taxonomy places the organism in Eukaryota, Metazoa, Chordata, Actinopteri, Salmoniformes, Salmonidae. The transcript has 3 exons. The record is from RefSeq and is a predicted model, not a curated record.
GUAGUGUGAUGGUUUGGGGUCCAGAAUGGAGGUGGUAGUGUGAUGGUUUGGGGUCCAGAAUGGAGGUGGUAGUGUGAUGGUUUGGGGUCCAGAAUGGAGGUGGUAGUGUGAUGGUUUGGGGUCCAGAAUGGAGGUGGUAGUGUGAUGGUUUGGGGUCCAGAAUGGAGGUGGUAGUGUGAUGGUUUGGGGUCCAGAAUGGAGGUGGUAGUGUGAUGGUUUGGGGUCCAGAAUGGAGGUGGUAGUGUGAUGGUUUGGGGUCCAGAAUGGAGGUGGUAGUGUGAUGGUUUGGGGUCCAGAAUGGAGGUGGUAGUGUGAUGGUUUGGGGUCCAGAAUGGAGGUGGUAGUGUGAUGGUUUGGGGUCCAGAAUGGAGGUGGUAGUGUGAUGGUUUGGGGUCCAGAAUGGAGGUGGUAGUGUGAUGGUUUGGGGUCCAGAAUGGAGGUGGUAGUGUGAUGGUUUGGGGUCCAGAAUGGAGGUGGUAGUGUGAUGGUUUGGGGUCCAGAAUGGAGGUGGUAGUGUGAUGGUUUGGGGUCCAGAAUGGAGGUGGUAGU